This 449-nucleotide ribosomal RNA is filed under the name uncultured bacterium. RNAcentral's name for it is "partial 16S ribosomal RNA". It matches the Rfam family "Bacterial small subunit ribosomal RNA", at positions 29 to 523 of the family's 1533-position model. The record is from RNAcentral.
AACGAACGCUGGCGGCAGGCCUAACACAUGCAAGUCGAGCGCGCCCUUCGGGGUGAGCGGCGGACGGGUGAGUAACGCGUGGGAACGUGCCCUUCUCUGCGGAAUAGCCUCGGGAAACUGAGAGUAAUACCGCAUACGCCCUUUGGGGGAAAGAUUUAUCGGGGAAGGAUCGGCCCGCGUUGGAUUAGGUAGUUGGUGGGGUAAUGGCCCACCAAGCCGACGAUCCAUAGCUGGUUUGAGAGGAUGAUCAGCCACACUGGGACUGAGACACGGCCCAGACUCCUACGGGAGGCAGCAGUGGGGAAUCUUAGACAAUGGGGGAAACCCUGAUCUAGCCAUGCCGCGUGAGUGAUGAAGGCCUUAGGGUUGUAAAGCUCUUUCAGCUGGGAAGAUAAUGACGGUACCAGCAGAAGAAGCCCCGGCUAACUCCGUGCCAGCAGCCGCCGUAA